This 3851-nucleotide long non-coding RNA is filed under the name Populus trichocarpa (black cottonwood). Its description in RNAcentral is "long non-coding RNA (PTRI_LNC002735)". The record is from RNAcentral. Lineage: Eukaryota; Viridiplantae; Streptophyta; Magnoliopsida; Malpighiales; Salicaceae.
GACUAUAAUUGUUUACUUCUUUUGUUGUUUGUCUUCUGACAGUGCUAAUUUGCCAAUAGAAAAUACUGCAUACUAUAUCUGGUGCCAGCAUUAUUCAUCAAUUAUACAUCUUGAUUGGGAAAAUUUCACGGAGACAUUUAGUGUCAACUUGAGUUUAUUUUGGUCAAAAUACUGUUGCAAAGAUGUGCAACUUUAAUUUUUUUUUAAGAAAAUAAUUUAAAGAAAAAAAGAAUGAACAAGAUGAAAAAACAGUACUUUUCUAGGAACUUUUCCUGUAGAAUGUAUUUUUGCAAAGGAUUGUCAUAGUGUUAGCAAGUCAGCUUAGUUCAAUUUGAUAUUGUAUAAUGCACGAACUAAAACAUAGCCAAACAAGUUGGAGCUGAGUCCUGAUAUGAAUGGAUAUGAACCAGCAAUUAUUAGCUGAUCUAAAGUACCUUACACAAAGUCGUUCCAAAUCUGAUGCGGGAAAAAAAGAGAUUUAAAAUGCAAUAAGAAAGAAAAGAAGAAGCUAAGAAGAAGCCAAAGAAAAAAAGAAAAAACUGAAGAAGAGAAGAAUGAGCAUUGGAAAAGUAUUCAACUCUGCAAUUUUUAUUUAAUUUUUCAAAAACUGUCUAAAGAAAAAUAGGAUAUAAAUACUAAAACCCUAACUAGAACAAACAAUUAGGCUUAUAGCCCAUUAAAUAAAAUACCCAAUAAUAAUUAAAUCAAGUCCAACAAAUAAAACAUAAUUAAUAAACCUUAACUAAAAGUUCAAAUAAAUUAAACUAAAACUUAAGUUAAAGCUCAAUCUCUCAAUGGUUUGGACAACCCUCCAUCAUAUAUGAUCAUACGAGUGUAUAAACAAUGUUUCGGGUCUAGUGUCCCUACCAACUCUCUUGGGGUUGGAGAAACUAAACCCCGUAGUUCAAGGCGACUCUAAUAAUACUUCCAUGAACAACACUAUAUGACUGAGGGUUUUGAGUGGAACAAACACUAUUUGAAACCUAUGACGUGCUGAAUGUCAAACAUGAAGGGGUGAGGAGCAUGUUGCUCUAAACCUUUAACGUGCUGGACGUCAAGCAUGAUAGGUGGGGAAUCUAGUUUAAGAGAACUAAUAUCAUGAGACUCUUCUAAGAUCAUAUUUACCUCUUCGGACAAUUCCACUAAAAAGUUUUCUAAAACUUCUUCCUCAAGCACUAAAGUAAAUUAUUAUAUUCUUUAUUAAUCUCAUUUUCAGAUUCAUUUGAACUUAUAGUGUUAAGUCCCUCUUCUUGCACAUACUUUUCAUCUAGGUCACUAAAGUCAUCAAGAUUGAGUUUAUUUAUAUGCACAUAAUAGUUUUUCAUUUCACCUAUAUCCUUAUGUUCUUAGAUGACUAAGGGUUUAGAGAUGCAGUUGAAGAAGAUAUGAUUGAAACCUUAACAUUUAGCGCACUAAACCUUUGAACUCAACAAAGACAUUUCAUUAACGAUUUUUUUUUUCCGUUAUCUUCUUUAUAAUUUUAGGCACUACUAGGAUUAGGUCUACAUGAUGGAGCACCACCUAACAAAGAACUAUCAUUUCUAAAUUGAGAUCUAAAAGGGUACUAUGAGGGUCUUGACAUCUCAUCCAUUGCUAGAUCCAUCCACUAAAUAAAAUACCCAAUAAUAAUUAAAUCAAGUUCAACAAAUAAAGUCUAAUCAAUAAAUCUCAACUAAAAGUUCAAAUAGAUUAAACCAAAACAUAAGCUACAACUCAGUCUCUCAAUGGUUUAGAUUACUAUCUAUUGUCUAUGAUCAUACUUGUAUGUAAACAAUGUUUCGGAUUUGAUGUCCCCACCAAACCAAAAGCCUUCUUUAUGUUGAAUGUUGAUUGGUUAGUCCUAGUCCUAGUUUUCUGCUUCCACGGAUGGGGAUGGAUAGUUCACAUCAGUUGUGCAACUGGUUUGAGGCCUAACAAAAUAAUCAAAUUGAAUCUUCUAGUUGAGAGCCUAAUAAUUUGAAUCAGCAUAAUAACAUUGAGAAUGCACUAUAGUUGGUGACCUUAAAGUGUUAAAAAGUGUCAAAUAUAAUCAACUAGUGAGAGGAGUUAUGACCUUAGAUUAUUUCUUUGUGAAUUUGAUGCCAGAAAAGAACAGCUUUUCUCCUUGUUAUCUUGUCUUUUAAGAUAGGUUAAGCAUUUGUUUUCGCAUUUUGAAUUGAUUAUAUUAAAUUAUAUACUCUUACCACAUCAUCAUUUCUUUUUAAGUAGUCUUCAUUUCUUUCUGUUACACGUGUUGUGUUUCUUUGGCAUUUGUCUUAAGAGAACUCUUCAUUGUUUUAUUUGUGAUUAUUCCCAGCACAUUUGGGGGAAAUCCUUUAGCCAGUGCAGUUGCCAUUGCUUCACUAGAUGUGAUCAAAGAAGAAGGGCUUGCUGAGAGGUAUCAUGUGUUAACCACAUUAAAUUAAACUUCUGUGACUAAAUUUUGAUUGCAAUCUCAGUUGUCUGAGAAGUUGGAGAGUUUUUAGGUGUGGGUAUCUGAGUGAACUACUUUGAAAACAUUUCCAAACAAUAGUCGGUUCUUUUUAACUGAAUUCCAUUAGAACAUCUUCCCGAAACAGCAUUCUAUGACAAAAUUGUGUGCUUAAACACGAGGAAGCUUAUUUUGGAACUUUUUGAACAUGAGUUAUUUUGGAAAUAUAUGCAAACAAUUUGUCAGUGUUUUGAAAAAAAUUCUCUUAGAACCUCAUUUAGAAACAAAAUUCUAUGAAAAAUUCAUGUUUUAUUUACAGCUAAACUUGUUUAUCCACAUUUUAUAUUUUGAAAUCUCUCUAACCCAUUUACCUUCCUUCUUUGCUUUUGUUUUUUCCCUUUCAAAAAGCUGAUUAAUUUGUGAAUUACCGGAUGUUUUUCUAUUCAAUAGAUCCUACCAUUUGGGGAAAGAACUCAGGCAUCAGCUACUUAAGGUUCAGCAACAGUUUCCAGACAUCAUUAAGGAAGUUCGAGGUAGAGGUUUGUUCAAUGCUGUGGAGUUCAACAGCAAGACUUUGUCCCCUGUUUCUGCAUAUGAUAUUUGUCUGAAGUUGAAGGAAAGAGGAGUUCUUGCUAAGCCUACACAUGACACUAUUGUCCGGUUAACUCCUCCACUUUCCAUUAGGUAAGGAAGAUGUUUGAUGAGUGCUAAAUGUUAUAAUGUCACCGAAAGUAUAAAUAUCUUGAGAAUGAUCUGGUGUGAUGCUAUCUCUUUCCAUACAAUCCAAGUAAUAAACAAGAUUGAUCUGAUAUGGGUUAAAGAGAGAAGGUGCCUGGAUGAACAGUCACUAUCCAAGAUUAUUAUCCUGUACUAGGCCUUUAUGCUUUUCACAAAAAACUAGGACCUUAUUGAAACCUGAUACUAUCCAUUCACAUUUGCUUGGCCCUUUGAUUCGUAGUGGAAACUUUGUUUCUUUCUUCGGAUUCAAUGUAGUGAAUGAUGCCUCAAAAAUCUUUUAGUUAUACUGGAACAUUUUCAGAAAUGUAUCUGAAAAGAUUCUGUCACAAGACUAGUCAUGCCAAUUAAGGAUGGCAUUUGUUUUUGUUGCAAAAAUGAAACAAAUAAAAUCUGCACCACAUGCAAUUAUGUAUUCAAAGACCCACCUUACAUAGUUGAACAAGAUUUAUGUGGUAUGCUGUAAAUCAUCAUCCUGCUAUUGCAUUAUUGUUGACUCGUGAACAAGAUACUGAGAUGCUAUUUACCUGGCAGUAAAAGUUGGAAUGCACGUUUAAUCAGGAAACAAUUUUGUCACGAAAUUUUCUUAUGGGAAAAUUGUAUAACCUGGAAUAAUUUUUUCUUUUUCAGUUCGGAUGAGCUCCAAGAAGGAUCAAAGACUCUGCAUGAAGUUCUGGAACUUGAUCUACCAAAGAUGAAGGCGGCC